This 72-nucleotide transfer RNA is filed under the name bacterium (Candidatus Gribaldobacteria) CG08_land_8_20_14_0_20_39_15. RNAcentral's name for it is "tRNA-Arg". It matches the Rfam family "tRNA". Rfam says of the family: Transfer RNA (tRNA) molecules are approximately 80 nucleotides in length. Their secondary structure includes four short double-helical elements and three loops (D, anti-codon, and T loops). Further hydrogen bonds mediate the characteristic L-shaped molecular structure. tRNAs have two regions of fundamental functional importance: the anti-codon, which is responsible for specific mRNA codon recognition, and the 3' end, to which the tRNAs corresponding amino acid is attached (by aminoacyl-tRNA synthetases). tRNAs cope with the degeneracy of the genetic code in two manners: having more than one tRNA (with a specific anti-codon) for a particular amino acid; and 'wobble' base-pairing, i.e. permitting non-standard base-pairing at the 3rd anti-codon position. The record is from RNAcentral. Lineage: Bacteria; Candidatus Gribaldobacteria.
GCCCUCGUAGCUCAAUGGAUAGAGCAAGGCUCUUCUAAAGCCAAGAUAGGGGUCCGAUUCCUCUCGAGGGCG